Molecule: ribosomal RNA, 500 nt
Filed under: uncultured bacterium
Lineage: Bacteria
Description: partial 16S ribosomal RNA
Rfam family: Bacterial small subunit ribosomal RNA
Source: RNAcentral
AUUGAACGCUGGCGGCAGGCCUAACACAUGCAAGUCGAGCGGAUGAGAGGAGCUUGCUCCUCGAUUCAGCGGCGGACGGGUGAGUAAUGCCUAGGAAUCUGCCUAGUAGUGGGGGACAACGUUUCGAAAGGAACGCUAAUACCGCAUACGUCCUACGGGAGAAAGUGGGGGAUCUUCGGACCUCACGCUAUUAGAUGAGCCUAGGUCGGAUUAGCUAGUUGGUAGGGUAACGGCCUACCAAGGCGGCGAUCCGUAACCGGUCUGAGAGGAUGAUCAGUCACACUGGAACUGAGACACGGUCCAGACUCCUACGGGAGGCAGCAGUGGGGAAUAUUGGACAAUGGGCGAAAGCCUGAUCCAGCCAUGCCGCGUGUGUGAAGAAGGCCCUCGGGUCGUAAAGCACUUUAAGUUGGGAGGAAGGGCUUACAGCGAAUACCUGUGAGUUUUGACGUUACCGACAGAAUAAGCACCGGCUAACUUCGUGCCAGCCGCCGCGGUAA